Molecule: non-coding RNA, 30 nt
Filed under: Mus musculus (house mouse)
Lineage: Eukaryota; Metazoa; Chordata; Mammalia; Rodentia; Muridae
Source: RNAcentral
UGUGACUUAGUGUGCCCCUCAUGUCACAGA